AUACGGAGGGUCCAAGCGUUAUCCGGAAUCAUUGGGUUUAAAGGGUCCGUAGGCGGGCAAUUAAGUCAGAGGUGAAAGCCCACGGCUCAACUGUGGAACUGCCUUUGAUACUGGUUGCCUUGAAUUAUCGUGAAGUAGAUAGAAUGUGUAGUGUAGCGGUGAAAUGCAUAGAUAUUACACAGAAUACCGAUUGCGAAGGCAGUCUGCUAACUAUAUAUUGACGCUGAUGGACGAAAGCGUGGGGAGCGAACAGAAUUAGAUACCCUAGUAGUCC
This 274-nucleotide ribosomal RNA is filed under the name uncultured bacterium. RNAcentral's name for it is "partial 16S ribosomal RNA". It matches the Rfam family "Bacterial small subunit ribosomal RNA", at positions 523 to 796 of the family's 1533-position model. The record is from RNAcentral.